UGAGGAACAUGACCUUCGGCGGGGGAUAGCCGGCCCAACGGCUGGGUAAUACCGCGUACGACCACAUGGGGACAUCCCUGAGUGGUGAAAGCAGCAAUGCGCCGAUGGAGUGCCUCGCGGCCUAUCAGCUAGUUGGUGAGGUAACGGCUCACCAAGGCGACGACGGGUAGCCGGCCUGAGAGGGCGACCGGCCACACUGGGACUGAGACACAGCCCAGACCUCCGUAGGGAG
This 232-nucleotide ribosomal RNA is filed under the name uncultured bacterium. Its description in RNAcentral is "partial 16S ribosomal RNA". It matches the Rfam family "Bacterial small subunit ribosomal RNA", at positions 118 to 347 of the family's 1533-position model. The record is from RNAcentral.